This 667-nucleotide long non-coding RNA is filed under the name Homo sapiens (human). RNAcentral's name for it is "novel transcript". The record is from RNAcentral. Lineage: Eukaryota; Metazoa; Chordata; Mammalia; Primates; Hominidae.
GUGAACGUGACUUUUCUACAGUCACUACUCAUUUUUCCUGUUCAUCUCCCACUUGAUUAUGGGCAACUUAAUUUAUCUUAGUGCCGCAGUGGACACUGAGCCUGUGAACUUGUUGUUUCUGAAAAAGGAGUCAGUUGCUAUUGGAAUAUUAUUUAAGGAGACACAUGUCAAUGCCAUUCUACAAAAAUGACACUUGACCCUGGAACUCAGCUUGGCCAAACCUGCCUCCGAUCCAAAUUGUGUUCUCGGUUAUAACUUCAUCAAUGGCGUUUCUCCAAGGCCAAAGUCAAACCUCUGCCAGAGGAAGAUGUAAAUAUUCAGAGCAAAAUAUUGCAUACCUGGCCCACAUGAGUCACUUAUGAGGAAGAGGGAGUUAGUUCUAAGAAUAAUAAUUAUCUUUUGGGUGAGAUUUAAAUUCAGGUCCAGAGCAUCUCUUAGAAAACCAUGGAUACAAGCAGCUUGUUAACAGCAGUAUCAGGUUCUUGGAGUCUGUAUAAAAUCUGGCCCAUCGAUUCAAACAAAACUGGUAUGAAAUAGCAUUUCUCUUCAUGUCUGAGGUUCCAGUGGUGGUUGGCUUCCUUCUUAUUUCUUGCCGUGUGUGGCUGUUUUCUUGCCAGCCUCAGAUUAUGCACUUACGUGUUUUCCAAAAAAUCAAAACCAUUUCCAA